CCGUCGGUGGUUCAGUGGCAGAAUGUUCGCCUGCCACGCAGGCGACCCGGGUUCGAUUUCCAGCCGAUGCA
This is a non-coding RNA of Angiostrongylus cantonensis (rat lungworm), 71 nucleotides long. The record is from Rfam. NCBI's taxonomy places the organism in Eukaryota, Metazoa, Nematoda, Chromadorea, Rhabditida, Metastrongylidae.